UCCCGCUCCCUUCCCCGGCGGGGUGCGUGACCGGGACUGUCCGGCAGCCCCGCCGCUCCCCCUGCGAUCCGCGGGGCUGCCCCGGGAGCUGCCGGCCUCUCCCUGCCCCUGGCUGGAACACCUCCGGAGGGCACGGGCAGUUCCUCGGGGGGUCGAGGGCGGGCGGCGGAGUCCCUCCAUUCCCCCGUAUCGCUCUCCGUCCGGUCAAGCCGACAGAAUGAGCUGGAAAAAUGAGGUUUGGGGAGACCUACGGAGGGGAUGGACGUGAUCUGUGCGUCGAUGCGAAGCCGAAGGCUGGAUCUAUGCAGCAUUUAACCCCGUGCGCCUCAUCACGUUUCUUUACCGAACUAACUAUCUGGGCAGCCUGCGGUCAGCCCGGUACUGCUCUGUAGUGAAGGACUGAAAAGUCGUCUUUUGGACAUAGGAUAGUUGCUUCUUCUCGGUUAUUUACUCGUCAAAAGAAGAUAUCGAGCUCCGAGGGUCCCGAUUCUGUUCGCAGGGAGGUCACCAGUGUCGGGGCCGGGUGCCGGAGGAGAUCCUGGCACAGAAGCUCGGUCGAAGUUCUUCGUCAAGCGAAGCGGAGAGCCGCUGACAGCCCGCUGCAGAUCUUCUUCCUAGGCUAGUUUGGGCUUCCGGAAAGAUGAGUAGUUAUUAUAAAAUGUUCAGGUUGCUCUGAUGGAAACUUUAAGGUGUAUUUGAAUUAUGUAAAAACAGACACAAUAAUGACAUCACUCCGAAAAGUAAUUUCUGACUGGAAAGCAAUAAAAGCUUGCAGGAUUUGACAGUUAAUUGACAGUUAAUUCCAUCCCGUUCCGCCGAAAGUGAAACGUGUGUGUUUGGGAGAUAUUCAGACUUUGCCAUCACCUUGGGGCAUCGGAGCAGUCCUCCUUCAACCUCCUUUAAUCCGUGGUCCAUAGGUAAC
Molecule: long non-coding RNA, 922 nt
Organism: Calypte anna (Anna's hummingbird)
Lineage: Eukaryota; Metazoa; Chordata; Aves; Apodiformes; Trochilidae
Exons: 3
Source: RefSeq, a predicted model, not a curated record